GACGAACGCUGGCGGCGUGCUUAACACAUGCAAGUCGAGCGGUAAGGCCUUUCGGGGUACCCGAGCGGCGAACGGGUGAGUAACACGUGGGUGAUCUGCCCUGCACUUCGGGAUAAGCCUGGGAAACUGGGUCUAAUACCGGAUAUGACCUCCUAUCGCAUGGUGGGUGGUGGAAAGAUUUAUCGGUGCAGGAUGGUCCCGCGGCCUAUCAGCUUGUUGGUGGGGUAAUGGCCUACCAAGGCGACGACGGGUAGCCGACCUGAGAGGGUGACCGGCCACACUGGGACUGAGACACGGCCCAGACUCCUACGGGAGGCAGCAGUGGGGAAUAUUGCACAAUGGGCGAAAGCCUGAUGCAGCGACGCCGCGUGAGGGAUGACGGCCUUCGGGUUGUAAACCUCUUUCAGCAGGGACGAAGCGCAAGUGACGGUACCUGCAGAAGAAGCACCGGCUAACUACGUG
RNAcentral lists this ribosomal RNA (462 nucleotides) under uncultured bacterium. Its description in RNAcentral is "partial 16S ribosomal RNA". It matches the Rfam family "Bacterial small subunit ribosomal RNA", at positions 28 to 507 of the family's 1533-position model. The record is from RNAcentral.